UAAUGGAAACAGAAAAGGAAGCCCCGCCGAAAACAGGACUUCCCACGCAAGCCGCUUCAAAGGCGGUGGCAUUAGUUAAAAAAUGAUA
This 88-nucleotide small RNA is filed under the name Lentilactobacillus buchneri subsp. silagei CD034. Its description in RNAcentral is "Lactobacillus buchneri CD034 RNA anti-toxin A". It matches the Rfam family "RNA anti-toxin A". Lineage: Bacteria; Bacillati; Bacillota; Bacilli; Lactobacillales; Lactobacillaceae. The record is from Rfam by way of RNAcentral.